Molecule: ribosomal RNA, 468 nt
Filed under: uncultured bacterium
Lineage: Bacteria
Description: partial 16S ribosomal RNA
Rfam family: Bacterial small subunit ribosomal RNA
Source: RNAcentral
GACGAACGCUGGCGGCGUGCUUAACACAUGCAAGUCGAACGGAAAGGCCCUGCUUUUGUGGGGUGCUCGAGUGGCGAACGGGUGAGUAACACGUGAGUAACCUGCCCUUGACUUUGGGAUAACUUCAGGAAACUGGGGCUAAUACCGGAUAGGAGCUCCUGCUGCAUGGUGGGGGUUGGAAAGUUUCGGCGGUUGGGGAUGGACUCGCGGCUUAUCAGCUUGUUGGUGGGGUAGUGGCUUACCAAGGCCUUGACGGGUAGCCGGCCUGAGAGGGUGACCGGCAAAAUUGGGACUGAGAUACGGCCCAGACUCCUACGGGAGGCAGAAGUGGGGAAUAUUGCAAAAUGGGCGGAAGCCUGAUGCAGCAACGCCGCGUGCGGGAUGACGGCCUUCGGGUUGUAAACCGCUUUCGCCUGUGACGAAGCGUGAGUGACGGUAAUGGGUAAAGAAGCACCGGCUAACUACGUG